This 2548-nucleotide small RNA is filed under the name Rattus norvegicus (Norway rat). RNAcentral describes it as "uncharacterized LOC102556510". Lineage: Eukaryota; Metazoa; Chordata; Mammalia; Rodentia; Muridae. The record is from RNAcentral.
AGUGUCUGGAUUUAUUGUCAGCAGAUGACAUGGAUCCCUAAGUGGACCAGUCCUUGGCUGGCCUUUCCUUCAGUUUCUGCUCCAUUCUUUCCCCCGGCAUUUCUUAUGACAGGAGGAAUUCUAGAUUAGUAGUUUGAGGUGGGUGUGUUGUCCCUCCCUCAACUAGGGGCCAUGUCUAUCCACUGGAUGUAGUCUCUUCAGGUUCUAUCUCCCCUUUGUUAGGUAUUUUGGCUAAAGUCUUUCCCUUUGGGCCCUGGGACUCUCGAGUGGCUACCCUCACUUCUCCUUACCCCACUGCUACACACCUUUCAAAUUAUUGACCCUCUGUACUUCUUUCCCAUCUUCUCCUAUAUCUAAACUGGUCCCCUUUUUGCUCCUCCUCCUCUCUCUCUUCCAGAAUCCUUUGGAUCUCUGCUUGUCAGAGAUUAUUCUCUUCCUCCUACUGGUUAGUACUGUAGCAUUUACACUUUGGUGUGAUCGUCUUUCUUCUUGGGUUUCAUAGGGUCUGUGAGUUGUAUCAUGGGCAUUUAAUCAUACCUCUCUCGUUGGUUGGUUUUAAUCAUAUCACAUCUUCAAUUUCCUAGGCAUUUUGUCACUAUUUGGCAUGAGCUCCCUUUCCUGGCAUGUGCCUCAAAUUAGAUCAGUCGUUAGUUGGCCACUCCCACAAGUUCUGCUUCUGCAUUGUGUCAGCACAUCUUGCAGUUAAGAUACAAAGUAGGACUCAAAUUUUGUGGAUGGAUUGGUGUCCCAGUCCAACCACCAGAAGCCUUGCUUGUUUACAGUCAAUGGCAUGCCCAGCCUUCAAAUUCUUCUUACCAGGCCUCCUAAUUGAUUCCUGGAAGUUUCUACUGCACUAGGUUUUUAUAUGGCCACUCAAAAUGCCUUUCAAUGACCUCAUACUCUCCUUUCAUUCUUCCCCAAUCACCUGAUCUCUUCUGUCCCCAUCCCUACCCACCCCAAAGAACAUUCCCCAAAAAUCUGUUCUAUUUCUUCUUUCUAAGGAAACCCAUGUGUCUCCCUUAGAGUCUUUCUUGCUAUAUAGCCUUUCUGGGUCUGUAGACGUAGCAUGAGUGUCAAUUACUUAUCAGUUAAAAUGAUCAAUGGGGGAAACUCAAAUGGCUGAGGAGCACACAAAGAGACGUUCAACAUCCUUGGCCGACAGGGAGAUACAAAUCAGUACUACUUUGAGAUUCCAUCUUAACAACUCUCAGGAUGGCUGAGGUUUCACCAUUAUCAAACUCUUGUGCAUUUGAUGCUUGCCUAUGGCGAGGCAGUGGCCCCUACUUGUUUAAGAUGGAGAAACAUCAGGACUACAUUAAGGAAGGAAUGUUUUAUUUAAAGCCUCCGUUGAGCUCCCAACAUGAGAAAUGAGAAAUGAAAGUAAAUCAAUACCCAGAUGUGUCAAACAUAUUUUAAUCAAGUUUCUCUGUGAAAGAAGACAAUUGUUUUGUGAAGCAUUCCGAACAUAAUAGACUUUAUGAUGGCAUGAAGGAUGAGCUCUGGGGUCCUAUUCAUGUUUGACAUUCUAUAAAGGGCUGAGAAAACACUUUUUGAAGGAAGAUCAACAAGAUAAAAAAGUAAAUGUUACCAAGAAUCUAUAAGUACUGACUCCUACAAGAGAAAGAAUGCAGUAAACAAAAUGACCAGCCAACCAACCAAUGAAAACCAAGUGUGUUUUGUCAAUUUUCACACCUAAGUGAACUGAGAAAAUGCCCUCUGCUUCCUUCUGUGGUGUCAGGAAGAAAUUCAAACCGUACAUGCCCUUCUCCAAAAGCAUCUACCCCACUUAUUGUCUUGUGUAGCCACAAUGGGGAGGGGAAAAAUAAGGUUUGAAGCAAAACACACAGUAAGCCAAUAUUCCUGUUCAAAGUGUCACACCAUGAAAUGCCAUCAACAUUUCAAGUUCAGAAGAUGUUAUCGAGAUUUUUAAAUGACAACAAGACAGAAGUACCAUUCGGGGCAUAAGAAUUCCGGUAUUUGGAUUAUUGUUUCUUUUAAGAAAGUGAUCUAACGUGCAUCUCAUUUAUAUUUCAUGCAAUUUUUACAAAAUGUUUACUGACUCACAUUGAUUGAUUUUCAUGGCUGAAGUGUUGCAGAUAUUUCGUUAUUGUUUCCCUAUUAGUAUGAGAUAUGAGAUGUUUGCUGUUUACUUUUACCCAUUUCAUUUACUGUGCUUAUCAUUUAUCAUAUUGGUUUUAUUUACUUUUUAAUCAUUUUUCUUCUGUCUUGUUUUUUUUUAUUUAACCUGAAGUUUCCAAUAAUUACAUGAGUGUAAUGGUUAACUGUGGACACUAAUUUUACCACAGCGAAUAAUAUCUUCAACACUGAUAAAGCAUAAUUGUGAGUAGAAUUUUGAGGCUGUUUCCAGUGUUUGCCCUAUGAAGCUGAAUGGAAUAGGAGAGAGAAUAUGCUGUCAAGUAGCACUCAACAUUAAAUCAUCUGCCAAAGCCAAUAGCUUGUGGAAAUAUGUUAUUAUAGUCAUAUUUCAAUCAGCCAGUCUUGGCCCUGGAUAUUAGACCUCUAGGCCUGGAAAGGGAUCCAUAUCUAG